CCCGUUCCAGGCGACUUUAACCUUCAUUUUCCUGAAAACAACGUCCAAACAAAGUUUUCUGGCGAAAACGAAAGAAAAUUUCUAGUUGAGGUUGCAAAAGUUUUUCACUCUUCAUCCGGCAAACAGAAAUUAAAUGGAACAAGAAGGAACCUUGGUUGACAAAAACUUUCCCCUCUUCUCCAAACCUUCCAAAACUCUUAAACCCCUUAAAACUACUAAAACCCUAAAACCUGACCAAAACUCCGAAACCCCCCAAAUCGAGAAGGAAAAAUCCACAAAUCCUAAUUCCAACUCUCCCAACACCACCACCCCCACCAACACAACUUUAUUUUCGGACUUGGGUCUCGCUGAAUGGGCGGUUCAAACCUGCAAGGAAUUGGGGAUGAA
This 387-nucleotide unclassified non-coding RNA is filed under the name Hevea brasiliensis (rubber tree). The record is from RNAcentral. Lineage: Eukaryota; Viridiplantae; Streptophyta; Magnoliopsida; Malpighiales; Euphorbiaceae.